CAGGGCAGCAGGAGCAUAUCUC
RNAcentral lists this non-coding RNA (22 nucleotides) under Mus musculus (house mouse). Lineage: Eukaryota; Metazoa; Chordata; Mammalia; Rodentia; Muridae. The record is from RNAcentral.